Molecule: non-coding RNA, 29 nt
Filed under: Rattus norvegicus (Norway rat)
Lineage: Eukaryota; Metazoa; Chordata; Mammalia; Rodentia; Muridae
Source: RNAcentral
UAGGCACUGGGGAUGCCCUCGGAAAUGAU